GACGAACGCUGGCGGCGUGCUUAACACAUGCAAGUCGAACGGUUAAGCGCCUUCCUUUUUGGUGGGUGUGGAUGAGUGGCGAACUGGUGAGUAACACGUUAGUAACCUUCCCCCCUCUUCUUGAUAACCGCAUGAAAGUGUUGCUAAUACUGGAUAUUCUGGGUCUGUCGCAUGAUUGGUCUGGGACAGUUUUUGUUUCGGUGGUUGAUGGGCUCGCGUCGUAUCAGCUUGUUGGUGGGGUGAUGGCGUCCCAAGGCGGUGGUGAGUAGCCGGCGUGAGAGGAGGGUGGGCGGCACAAGUGGGAAGAAGAGACGGAGAAGCCUCCGACGGGAGGCAGAAGGGGGUCUUAUGGAAUAAGGGGAGGCAGGACGGAGCAGCGACGCGUGGGGAGGGAGGGAGGCCUGAGGGUUGUAAACCUUUAUCGGGGAAGAAGAAGGGCGGCAUCGUUUGUGGGCGGGUUGACGGUAGCUGAACAAGAAGCGCCGGCUAACUACGUG
RNAcentral lists this ribosomal RNA (497 nucleotides) under uncultured bacterium. RNAcentral's name for it is "partial 16S ribosomal RNA". It matches the Rfam family "Bacterial small subunit ribosomal RNA", at positions 28 to 507 of the family's 1533-position model. The record is from RNAcentral.